UGGGGAAUUUUGGACAAUGGGCGAAAGCCUGAUCCAGCAAUGCCGUGUGUGUGAAGAAGGCCUUCGGGUUGUAAAGCACUUUUGUCCGGAAAGAAAUCCUUGGCUCUAAUACAGUCGGGGGAUGACGGUACCGGAAGAAUAAGCACCGGCUAACUACGUGCCAGCAGCCGCGGUAAUACGUAGGGUGCAAGCGUUAAUCGGAAUUACUGGGCGUAAAGCGUGCGCAGGCGGUUUGCUAAGACCGAUGUGAAAUCCCCGGGCUCAACCUGGGAACUGCAUUGGUGACUGGCAGGCUAGAGUAUGGCAGAGGGGGGUAGAAUUCCACGUGUAGCAGUGAAAUGCGUAGAGAUGUGGAGGAAUACCGAUGGCGAAGGCAGCCCCCUGGGCCAAUACUGACGCUCAUGCACGAAAGCGUGGGGAGCAAACAGGAUUAGAUACCCUGGUAGUCCACGCCCUAAACGAUGUCAACUAGUUGUUGGGGAUUCAUUUCCUUAGUAACGUAGCUAACGCGUGAAGUUGACCGCCUGGGGAGUACGGUCGCAAGAUUAAAACUCAAUGAAUUGACGGGGUCAUAGCUGUUUCCU
This 584-nucleotide ribosomal RNA is filed under the name uncultured bacterium. Its description in RNAcentral is "partial 16S ribosomal RNA". It matches the Rfam family "Bacterial small subunit ribosomal RNA", at positions 355 to 1375 of the family's 1533-position model. The record is from RNAcentral.